UAGAAGAUGGUGUAUUGGAAGCACAAGGAGUUUUGAUCUCCUUAGGAUGGGUUCGAGUCCCAUUUUUCUAA
This 71-nucleotide transfer RNA is filed under the name Scleropages jardinii (Australian bonytongue). RNAcentral describes it as "tRNA-Gln". It matches the Rfam family "tRNA". Rfam says of the family: Transfer RNA (tRNA) molecules are approximately 80 nucleotides in length. Lineage: Eukaryota; Metazoa; Chordata; Actinopteri; Osteoglossiformes; Osteoglossidae. The record is from RNAcentral.